Molecule: non-coding RNA, 1349 nt
Organism: Drosophila virilis
Lineage: Eukaryota; Metazoa; Arthropoda; Insecta; Diptera; Drosophilidae
Source: Rfam
GUGCUUCAUACGGGUAGUACAACUUACAAUUGUAGUUAGUACUAUACCUUUAUGUAUGUAAGCGUAUUACCGGUGGAGUUCUUAUAUUUAAUUAAAUACUUGUAUUUUUUUAUAUAUUCCUCCUAUUUAAAAACCUGCAUUAGUGCUCUUCAUCGAGUGUUAUUGUGGGCCGGUACAAUUACUUUGAACAAAUUAGAGUGCUUAAAGCAGGCUUCAAAUGCCUGAAUAUUCUGUGCAUGCGAUAAUGAAAUAAGACCUCUGUUCUGCUUUCAUUGGUUUUCACAUCAAGAGGUAAUGAUUAAUAGAAGCAGUUUGGGGGCAUUAGUAUUACGACGCGAGAGGUGAAAUUCUUGGACCGUCGUAAGACUAACUUAAGCGAAAGCAUUUGCCACAGAUGUUUUCAUUAAUCACAGAACGAAAGUUACACGCUUCGAACGCGAUCAGAUACCGCCCUAGUUCUAACCAUAAACGAUGCCAGCUAGCAAUUGCGUGUAGCUACUUUUAUGGCUCUCUCAGUCGCUUCCCGGGAAACCAAAGCUUUUGGGCUCCGGGGGAAGUAUGGUUGCAAAGCUGAAACUUAAAGGAAUUGACGGAAGGGCACCACCAGGAGUGGAGCCUGCGGCUUAAUUUGACUCAACACGGGAAAACUUACCAGGUCCGAACAUAAGUGUGUAAGACAGAUUGAUAGCUCUUUCUCGAAUCUAUGGGUGGUGGUGCAUGGCCGUUCUUAGUUCGUGGAGUGAUUUGUCUGGUUAAUUCCGAUAACGAACGAGACUCAAAUAUAUUAAAUAGAUAUCUUCAGGAUUAUGGUGUUGAAGCUUAUAUAGCCUUCAUUCAUAGUGGCAGUAAAAUGUUUAUUGUGUUUGAAUGUGUUUAUAUAAGUGGAGCCGUACCUGUUGGUUUGUCCCAUUAUAAGGACACUAGCUUCUUAAAUGGACAAAUUGCGUCUAGCAAUAAUGAGAUUGAGCAAUAACAGUCUGUGAUGCCCUUAGAUGUCCUGGGCUGCACGCGCGCUACAAUGAAAGUAUCAACGUGUAUUUCCUAGACCGAGAGGUCCGGGUAAACCGCUGAACCACUUUCAUGCUUGGGAUUGUGAAAUGAAACUGUUCACAUGAACUUGGAAUUCCCAGUAACUGUGAGUCAUUAACUCGCAUUGAUUACGUCCCUGCCCUUUGUACACCCCGCCCGUCGCUACUACCGAUUGAAUUAUUUAGUGAGGUCUCCGGACGUGAUCACUGUGACGCCUUGUGUGUUGCGGUUGUUUCGCAAAAGUUGACCGAACUUGAUUAUUUAGAGGAAGUAAAAGUCGUAACAAGGUUUCAGUAGGUGAACAUGCGGAAGGAUCAUUA